UAUUGAAUGGUCAAAGUUUUCUGCAAUCUUGCAGCAAACAUUCUUUAUUAUUUUAAACUUUCUGGCAAUCUUACGGCAAACAUUGAUGUUUCUGCAAACUUGCCGCAAGCUUGCAGCAAUGUUUGCCGGAAGUUUGCAGCUAGCGUCAAACAUCUGCAAACACUAUUUUCUGUGUUCCUGCAAACAAUUCAGUUUCAUAAGGGUAUUUGAAUAAAUGUCUGUAUAGGUUGCACUUUGUAAAUACAGCUGUUUCUCAAACACGCCUCUUUUAGGGAGUAAUUGAAUAUUCAUAGAAAAUUGAUUGGUUCUCAGUUAUACUCUCUGUGUUCAAUAUCGCAGAGACAGAACUUGGGAAUGUUACCAGUAAAUAAACACGUGCAUAUUGUUUACAUUGAAAUUUGUGGUAACCUUUCAUUCGAGGUAGGGGUCGUUAAGAAAAUAAGUGUAAGUUUAAACUCUGAGAAGUUCAGGGCAUAUAAACGUUGAAAAUAUGCCGCACAGCCCUAUAUUUUGACCUUUGAAAAAAAUUGUGGUGCAUAUGAACUUUCAAUUCUAGGAUAAGAUUUUUUUUCAAAACUUCAUAGUAAAAGUGGUACAGUUUUAGCCGUAAAAGGAGUUCCUAUGGGAAAUUGCAUUGUCAAUAUUUACAGAAAUGCAACCUAAAGAGGGAGGCAAAACAUGCAUACACAAAGGCCUUAAUAGAAAACAUUCCUGCGAAGUCCAAUCUGUGACGCGCCCUCUUCCAGAAGGAGGCAAAACAUGCAUACGCAAAGGCCUUAACAGAAAACAU
RNAcentral lists this long non-coding RNA (790 nucleotides) under Mytilus galloprovincialis (Mediterranean mussel). Lineage: Eukaryota; Metazoa; Mollusca; Bivalvia; Mytilida; Mytilidae. The record is from RNAcentral.